AAAGGGUGCGUAGGCGGUUUAUUAAGUCAGUGGUGAAAGACGGUCGCUCAACGAUUGCAGUGCCAUUGAUACUGGUAGACUUGAGUGAGAUUGAGGUAGCUGGAAUGGAUAGUGUAGCGGUGAAAUGCAUAGAUAUUAUCCAGAACACCGAUUGCGAAGGCAGGUUACUAAGUCUUAACUGACGCUGAGGCACGAAAGUGUGGGGAUCAAACAGGAUUAGAUACCCCAGU
This 230-nucleotide ribosomal RNA is filed under the name uncultured bacterium. RNAcentral's name for it is "partial 16S ribosomal RNA". It matches the Rfam family "Bacterial small subunit ribosomal RNA", at positions 562 to 791 of the family's 1533-position model. The record is from RNAcentral.